Molecule: non-coding RNA, 107 nt
Organism: Corchorus olitorius
Lineage: Eukaryota; Viridiplantae; Streptophyta; Magnoliopsida; Malvales; Malvaceae
Source: Rfam
AAGAGAUGAUGAGGACAUUGUGACAAGAGCUCUCGGAAACGUUCCCAAGCUUCAUGGAAUGCUUCUCCCGGUUUUUGUUGGAAAUUGGAGAUCUUUGCUCUUAGAUC